GAUGAACGCUGGCGGCGUGCCUAAUACAUGCAAGUCGAGCGAACGGACGAGAAGCUUGCUUCUCUGAUGUUAGCGGCGGACGGGUGAGUAACACGUGGAUAACCUACCUAUAAGACUGGGAUAACUUCGGGAAACCGGAGCUAAUACCGGAUAAUAUUUUGAACCGCAUGGUUCAAAAGUGAAGGACGGUCUUGCUGUCACUUAUAGAUGGAUCCGCGCUGCAUUAGCUAGUUGGUAAGGUAACGGCUUACCAAGGCAACGAUGCGUAGCCGACCUGAGAGGGUGAUCGGCCACACUGGAACUGAGACACGGUCCAGACUCCUACGGGAGGCAGCAGUAGGGAAUCUUCCGCAAUGGGCGAAAGCCUGACGGAGCAACGCCGCGUGAGUGAUGAAGGUCUUCGGAUCGUAAAACUCUGUUAUUAGGGAAGAACAUAUGUGUAAGUAACUGUGCACAUCUUGACGGUACCUAAUCAGAAAGCCACGGCUAACUACGUG
RNAcentral lists this ribosomal RNA (497 nucleotides) under uncultured bacterium. RNAcentral's name for it is "partial 16S ribosomal RNA". It matches the Rfam family "Bacterial small subunit ribosomal RNA", at positions 28 to 507 of the family's 1533-position model. The record is from RNAcentral.